GGUCAAGUGAAGAAGCGCAUACGGUGGAUGCCUUGGCAGUCAGAGGCGAUGAAAGACGUGGUAGCCUGCGAAAAGCUUCGGGGAGUCGGCAAACAGACUGUGAUCCGGAGAUGUCUGAAUGGGGGAACCCAGCCAUCAUAAGAUGGUUAUCUUGUACUGAAUACAUAGGUGCAAGAGGCGAACCAGGGGAACUGAAACAUCUAAGUACCCUGAGGAAAAGAAAUCAACCGAGAUUCCCUUAGUAGUGGCGAGCGAACGGGGACCAGCCCUUAAGUUGUAUUGAGAUUAGCGGAACGUUCUGGAAAAGACGGCCAUAGUGGGUGAUAGCCCUGUACGCGAAAAUCCCUUUGCAAUGAAAUCGAGUAGGACGGGGCACGAGAAACCUUGUCUGAAUAUGGGGGGACCAUCCUCCAAGGCUAAAUACUACUGACUGACCGAUAGUGAACCAGUACCGUGAGGGAAAGGCGAAAAGAACCGCGGAGAGCGGAGUGAAAUAGAUCCUGAAACCGUAUGCGUACAAGCAGUGGGAGCCCACUUUGUUGGGUGACUGCGUACCUUUUGUAUAAUGGGUCAGCGACUUAUUUUCAGUGGCGAGCUUAACCGAAUAGGGGAGGCGUAGCGAAAGCGAGUCUUAAUAGGGCGUCUAGUCGCUGGGAAUAGACCCGAAACCGGGCGAUCUAUCCAUGGGCAGGUUGAAGGUUGGGUAACACUAACUGGAGGACCGAACCGACUACCGUUGAAAAGUUAGCGGAUGACCUGUGGAUCGGAGUGAAAGGCUAAUCAAGCUCGGAGAUAGCUGGUUCUCCUCGAAAGCUAUUUAGGUAGCGCCUCAUGUAUCACUGUAGGGGGUAGAGCACUGUUUCGGCUAGGGGGUCAUCCCGACUUACCAAACCGAUGCAAACUCCGAAUACCUACAAGUGCCGAGCAUGGGAGACACACGGCGGGUGCUAACGUCCGUCGUGAAAAGGGAAACAACCCAGACCGUCAGCUAAGGUCCCAAAGUCAUGGUUAAGUGGGAAACGAUGUGGGAAGGCUUAGACAGCUAGGAGGUUGGCUUAGAAGCAGCCACCCUUUAAAGAAAGCGUAAUAGCUCACUAGUCGAGUCGGCCUGCGCGGAAGAUGUAACGGGGCUCAAACCAUGCACCGAAGCUACGGGUAUCAUCUUUUGAUGAUGCGGUAGAGGAGCGUUCUGUAAGCCUGUGAAGGUGAGUUGAGAAGCUUGCUGGAGGUAUCAGAAGUGCGAAUGCUGACAUGAGUAACGACAAUGGGUGUGAAAAACACCCACGCCGAAAGACCAAGGUUUCCUGCGCAACGUUAAUCGACGCAGGGUUAGUCGGUCCCUAAGGCGAGGCUGAAAAGCGUAGUCGAUGGAAAACAGGUUAAUAUUCCUGUACUUCUGGUUAUUGCGAUGGAGGGACGGAGAAGGCUAGGCCAGCCUGGCGUUGGUAGUCCAGGUUUAAGGUGGUAGGCUGAGAUCUUAGGUAAAUCCGGGAUCUUAAGGCCGAGAGCUGAUGACGAGUGUUCUUUUAGAACACGAAGUGGUUGAUGCCAUGCUUCCAAGAAAAGCUUCUAAGCUUCAGGUAACCAGGAACCGUACCCCAAACCGACACAGGUGGUUGGGUAGAGAAUACCAAGGCGCUUGAGAGAACUCGGGUGAAGGAACUAGGCAAAAUGGCACCGUAACUUCGGGAGAAGGUGCGCCGGUGGAGGUGAAGCAUUUACUGCGUAAGCCCCUGCCGGUCGAAGAUACCAGGCCGCUGCGACUGUUUAUUAAAAACACAGCACUCUGCAAACACGAAAGUGGACGUAUAGGGUGUGACGCCUGCCCGGUGCCGGAAGGUUAAUUGAUGGGGUUAGCGCAAGCGAAGCUCUUGAUCGAAGCCCCGGUAAACGGCGGCCGUAACUAUAACGGUCCUAAGGUAGCGAAAUUCCUUGUCGGGUAAGUUCCGACCUGCACGAAUGGCGUAACGAUGGCGGCGCUGUCUCCACCCGAGACUCAGUGAAAUUGAAAUCGCUGUGAAGAUGCAGUGUAUCCGCGGCUAGACGGAAAGACCCCGUGAACCUUUACUAUAGCUUUGCACUGGACUUUGAAUUUGCUUGUGUAGGAUAGGUGGGAGGCUUUGAAGCGUGGACGCCAGUCUGCGUGGAGCCAACCUUGAAAUACCACCCUGGCAACUUUGAGGUUCUAACUCAGGUCCGUUAUCCGGAUCGAGGACAGUGUAUGGUGGGUAGUUUGACUGGGGCGGUCUCCUCCUAAAGAGUAACGGAGGAGUACGAAGGUGCGCUCAGACCGGUCGGAAAUCGGUCGUAGAGUAUAAAGGCAAAAGCGCGCUUGACUGCGAGACAGACACGUCGAGCAGGUACGAAAGUAGGUCUUAGUGAUCCGGUGGUUCUGUAUGGAAGGGCCAUCGCUCAACGGAUAAAAGGUACUCCGGGGAUAACAGGCUGAUACCGCCCAAGAGUUCAUAUCGACGGCGGUGUUUGGCACCUCGAUGUCGGCUCAUCACAUCCUGGGGCUGAAGCCGGUCCCAAGGGUAUGGCUGUUCGCCAUUUAAAGUGGUACGCGAGCUGGGUUUAGAACGUCGUGAGACAGUUCGGUCCCUAUCUGCCGUGGACGUUUGAGAUUUGAGAGGGGCUGCUCCUAGUACGAGAGGACCGGAGUGGACGAACCUCUGGUGUUCCGGUUGUCACGCCAGUGGCAUUGCCGGGUAGCUAUGUUCGGAAAAGAUAACCGCUGAAAGCAUCUAAGCGGGAAACUUGCCUCAAGAUGAGAUCUCACUGGAACCUUGAGUUCCCUAAAGGGCCGUCGAAGACUACGACGUUGAUAGGUUGGGUGUGUAAGCGCUGUGAGGCGUUGAGCUAACCAAUACUAAUUGCCCGUGAGGCUUGACCAU
RNAcentral lists this ribosomal RNA (2894 nucleotides) under Pseudomonas syringae pv. aptata. Its description in RNAcentral is "23S ribosomal RNA". It matches the Rfam family "Bacterial large subunit ribosomal RNA". Lineage: Bacteria; Pseudomonadati; Pseudomonadota; Gammaproteobacteria; Pseudomonadales; Pseudomonadaceae. The record is from RNAcentral. RNAcentral also lists the same sequence under 1 other name.